GCAGAGGCUGUGUUGUAGAGGGAGAGGCUGUGUUGUAGAGAGAGAGGCUGCUCUGUAGAGAGAGAGGCUGCUCUGUAGAGAGAGAGGCUGCUCUGUAGAGAGAGAGGCUGCUCUGUAGAGAGAGAGGCUGCGUUGUAGAGAGAGAGGCUGCUCUGUGGAGAGAGAGGCUGCUCUGUGGAGAGAGAGGCUGCACUGUAGAGAGAGAGGCUGCGUUGUAGAGAGAGAGGCUGCUCUGUAGAGAGAGAGGCUGCUCUGUAGAGAGAGAGGCUGCACUGUAGAGAGAGAGGCUGCACUGUAGAGAGAGAGGCUAGGCUGUAGAGAGAGAGGCUGCGUUGUAGAGAGAGAAGCUGCUCUGUAGAGAUAGAGGCUGUGUUGUAGAGAGAGAGGCUGCGUUGUAGAGAGAGAGCCUGCUCUGUGGAGAGAGAGGCUGCACUGUAGAGCGAGAGGCUGCACUGUAGAGCGAGAGGCUGCUCUGUAGAGAGGGAGGCUGCUCUGUAGAGAGGGAGGCUGCUCUGUAGACUCUGUAGAGAGGGAGGCUGCUCUGUAGAGAGGGAGGCUGCUCUGUAGAGAGGGAGGCUGCUCUGUAGAGAGGGAGGCUGCGCUGUAGAGAGCGAGGCUGCGCUGUAGAGCGAGAGGCUGCGCUGUAGAGAGAGGGGCUGCGCUGUAGAGAGAGAGGCUGUGCUGUAGAGAGAGAGGCUGUGCUGUAGAGAGAGAGGCUGUGCUGUAGAGAGAGAGGCUGUGCUGUAGAGAGAGGCUGCGCUGUAGAGAGAGGCUGCGCUGUAGAGAGAGAGGCUGCGCUGUAGAGAGAGGCUGCGCUGUAGAGAGAGGCUGCGCUGUAGAGAGAGGCUGCGCUGUAGAGAGAGGCUGCGCUGUAGAGAGAGGCUGCUCUGUAGAGAGAGAGAGGCUGCUCUGUAGAGAGAGAGGCUGCGCUGUAGCGAGAGAGGCUGCGCUGUAGCGAGAGAGGCUGCGCUGUAGCGAGAGAGGCUGCGCUGUAGCGAGAGAGGCUGCGCUGUAGAGAGAGAGGCUGCGCUGUAGAGAGCGAGGCUGCGCCGUAGAGAGCGAGGCUGCGCCGUAGAGAGAUAGGCUGUGCUGUAGAGAGGCUGCUCUGUAAAGAGAGAGGCUGUAGAGAGAGAGGCUGUGCUGUAGAGAGAGAGGCUGUGCUGUAGAGAGAGAGGCUGUGCUGUAGAGAGAGAGGCUGCGCUGUAGAGAGAGGCUGCGCUGUAGAGAGAGAGGCUGCGCUGUAGAGAGAGAGGCUGCGCUGUAGAGAGAGAGGCUGCGCUGUAGAGAGAGAGGCUGCGCUGUAGAGAGAGAGGCUGCGCCGUAGAGAGAGAGGCUGAGCUGUAGAGAGAGAGGCUGAGCUGUAGAGAGAUAUGAGCACCACAGAGCUCCUCUAUUUACAGGACCACUCUGGCAACACAACAGCGUGUGAAGUGCACUCUUGGAAGAGCUUGCUCCUUGCUGACAUAGUGGAUAAUGCUAGACAAGCAGUGUGGAUGAUUUUAUAAGAAUUUGAGGUGUGUGAGUCAGGCUGUUUAGUGAGUAGACUCAUCGUUGCAGGCUCUCUUGUCUCCCUGUCCAGUGUUGCCCUCUGACAGCCUCCCUUUGCACAGCCACUGUUCCAUACAUAUCAUAGUAUUGAUGUUACUAUCAGCUCAGAAACCUUUGAAACCAGCCCUGUAGAUGAAUGAUGCUCAUCUCACAGAAUGCCGUAUGUUAGAGAUUAUUUUUGUAUGUUCGGUUCUUUAACGUAGAAGAAGCAGAAGAGGGAGAAUAAAAGUGUCUUUUUAUUUUCAUUUUCAACAUGCUGCAUUUUCCUCUUAAUAUUGUAUCAGUGUAAUGAUAGACAAAAUAAGCAAUUUAUUUGUAUUGUGUAUAUUGUGCAGAAUGCUCUCAAAUGAAUGCAAUGGCAGACUACCUUCUCUCAGUGAUGAUGCCCUAGCUAGUCAUCUCCUGUAUGUACAUAGUUUGACCUUUAUAUUUAUGGUUGUGGUCACCUCUGCCUUUUCUUUCUUUUCAUUUGCAGGCAUUGCUAACUGCACUGUGCUUCAAUCUGCAUUUAGACCAGAUGUACAGCUUCGUCUUUAAUGAAAUGACAAUGAAAAAAUAAGAAUGUAAAAACAUUUCCCUGUGUUUGACUUUUUUCAUUCAUUGAUUGUGUUUGAUAUUUUAUGGGUUAUUUACUAGGUGUCCCGAUUAGAACAUCCUCUUGACUCCAGUCAUUGACAGAAUACACUUACCUAUUGCAUUAUCUUGAACUGUAUACAAUAUACUGUAUGAAAUAUAAAUAUAUGUAAAGAGCACUUUAUACACAAAAAAGAAAAAGGUACUGUUUACCAUGACUGGGCUGAGCCCACUGUCUGCUCAAGUUCUAUUGUGUCUCCUGAAUCAUUGUGCAAUCCAAUGGGGUGAACUCUAAACUUUGAGGAUAUGAAUCAGAAUCGCCCACGCAAACAUACUUUGAUAAACAAAAAUGUACUGACCAAUAUAUAGAUAGUAUACUGUCUUCUGGUCAACAUAUAGUGGAUUAAAGCGCCAUAGCAUCAACAUUUUUAUAACAAGUCGCUUCAUAUAAAGUACAGAAUAUCAAACAUAACUUUAUGGUAUUCACUGCAAAUAGACAUCAUAAUAUUAUACUGGAUUGGAAAUAUCAUUGAAAGCGCUUUUUCAGGUGCUCAAAUCACUUUGCAUUGUCUGAUAGGAUUCACCUCACACUACUAUCCAAAAGCAUAGAUACCUGGGUUAUGUUGGCUCUGAUGGCUCAUUCAUAAGGACAGAUUCAAA
Molecule: long non-coding RNA, 2781 nt
Organism: Oncorhynchus tshawytscha (Chinook salmon)
Lineage: Eukaryota; Metazoa; Chordata; Actinopteri; Salmoniformes; Salmonidae
Source: Ensembl